GCCCUGCCCCUCCGGGUCCACGCCGUUUAUUUUUAUUAGACUUAUAUUUAGAAAGGCGGCCCAGGGGCACUUGGGACUGAGCACAGCAAGUGUGGAGGGCUUCCUGCAGGCCAGGCCCCACUGCAAGGUCUGUAUAAUCUAGUGUAAUCCUCCACUAACUCCCAUUAUACAGAGAGGUAAACUGAGGCACAAAGGCAUGGAGCAGUUUACCUUAAACUGAGACAAGAAUUCAGUUGCAAGGUCUGUAUAAUCUAAUGUAAUCCUCCACUAACUCCCAUUAUA
Long non-coding RNA from Myotis davidii, 282 nucleotides. RefSeq lists it as uncharacterized. The record is from RefSeq and is a predicted model, not a curated record. Lineage: Eukaryota; Metazoa; Chordata; Mammalia; Chiroptera; Vespertilionidae. The transcript has 2 exons.